This 265-nucleotide long non-coding RNA is filed under the name Jatropha curcas. RNAcentral's name for it is "long non-coding RNA (JCUR_LNC000271)". Lineage: Eukaryota; Viridiplantae; Streptophyta; Magnoliopsida; Malpighiales; Euphorbiaceae. The record is from RNAcentral.
GUUUAUCAUGUAUUGAGGCAAAGUUUAAUAAACAUCUAUACUGUGGUAGAGAAUUUAAGUUGCGAUGGAGAAAAAAAUUGUGUUGGCUUGUUUCAUUGUUUUCUUGGCUAUGGUGCCCCUCAUAUUCGCACAAGUCUACUGUCCGCAUCCGCCUGGCCCGUGUCCUCCGAAUCCCAAAGAAUGUAUGAUCAAAUGCGAAAAGACUUGCAAAAAUUUAAAUUGUGAUGCUUUUUGCCUAACAUGUUGUUGUGCCGGUUAAAAACUU